This 472-nucleotide ribosomal RNA is filed under the name uncultured bacterium. RNAcentral's name for it is "partial 16S ribosomal RNA". It matches the Rfam family "Bacterial small subunit ribosomal RNA", at positions 28 to 507 of the family's 1533-position model. The record is from RNAcentral.
GACGGACGCUGGCGGCGUGCUUAACACAUGCAAGUCGAACGAUGAACCCGGAGCUUGCUCUGGGGGAUUAGUGGCGAACGGGUGAGUAACACGUGAGUAACCUGCCCUGGACUCUGGGAUAAGCGUUGGAAACGACGUCUAAUACCGGAUAGGACCUUGGAUCGCAUGAUCUGGGGUGGAAAGUUUUUUCGGUCUGGGAUGGACUCGCGGCCUAUCAGCUUGUUGGUGAGGUAAUGGCUCACCAAGGCGUCGACGGGUAGCCGGCCUGAGAGGGUGACCGGCCACACUGGGACUGAGACACGGCCCAGACUCCUACGGGAGGCAGCAGUGGGGAAUAUUGCACAAUGGGCGAAAGCCUGAUGCAGCAACGCCGCGUGCGGGAUGACGGCCUUCGGGUUGUAAACCGCUUUUAGUAGGGAAGAAGGGCUUCGGCUUGACGGUACCUGCAGAAAAAGGACCGGCUAACUACGUG